RNAcentral lists this long non-coding RNA (314 nucleotides) under Corvus moneduloides (New Caledonian crow). RNAcentral's name for it is "lncRNA (ENSCMUG00000018415.1)". The record is from RNAcentral. Lineage: Eukaryota; Metazoa; Chordata; Aves; Passeriformes; Corvidae.
GCCCACACAUGGCCUGAGUCAUUCCUUGCUCACAAUCCCUCUUGCUUCCUCUGCAGGUCUCUUGCUUCACGAGCCCACAUGGCCUGUGUGAAGGACAGUGGAAAUCCCAGAGGUGUUAUUGAGAAGCUCCUGCAGGAGCAGGGCUCCAUGACCAGGUUCAAAGUUCACCUCCUGCAGAGGAAUUGCACAUUGGGAGGAGGUCCAUCCGUCACAUGGGAGUGCACACAAAAGGCAUCGAGUUCUGGUCCAUGGCUUAACCAAGUCCAACAGAAACCACCCUGUCGUGACAUUAAGAUCUCUAUCCAACACAAAGU